GGACAAGGGUGGCCCUGGGAGACCCCAGGGGACCCAGGGGAGGUGGGGAAAUGGGGUGGAAACAGAAGGAAUGGCCCUCCCUGCCAGCAGCACCACUACAAGCCCCAAGGGGGCCCCCGGAUGGAAGACAGCUGCAGGUGCCUGGUCCUGCGGGGAGCACAUGUGUGCACGUGUGUGCUGGCACGAGCCUCUGUGGGCACGGCUACAAGAGGCGGCUGUGAGCUGGGGCCUCUGCAUAGGGAGCUGGACCUGCUCACUCUGUCCCUAGGCCCCCAGGCUCUAAGUGGGGAUGGAGAUGGGGUGGGGCUGGCAGGGCAGCGAGUCCAAGGCCUCUGGCCCCCGGACUCCAGCAGGCACACAGAGCCGGCUCUGGUCCCCACACUCUGCCCCUGACCCAGAGGGACCCCACUGCCUCUAUCACCCCUUCCCCCGAGAGGCCUCUCUCAUCUCAGCAUCUGCCCUUGGAGACUGGGUGGCAGAGGCUAGUUGCUG
Molecule: long non-coding RNA, 492 nt
Filed under: Homo sapiens (human)
Lineage: Eukaryota; Metazoa; Chordata; Mammalia; Primates; Hominidae
Description: HSALNT0246154
Source: RNAcentral